UGAUUUACUGAUUUCCUGAGAAUACAAGUUAUUUGAAAAGAGAGUAUCGACAUUUAAGUUGGUGAGUUCAUAAGCAUUUGUAUGUAUAUUUGUAAACCGUUUCUAUGAAAUGUAGUAAUGUUUUUUUUCCCAAAAAAUCCUAUAUUUUCCCUAAAAUGAGAUGUGGCCUUAAAUGAUCCAAGACCGAAAUGUAUAAGUAGUUUUCCUACUUAAAAUGAUGUUAUGCAGUUUUGUUUGUAUAUAAAACUGUUUGAAGACUGUCUUUGCGUAAAAUAAAAGUGUCAUUGUUGUUUUACGUGAGUUUUAAUUUUUAUCUUAUAACCAUGCUUGAUUGACCCAGACUGCCUAGUUCGCAAUGUUCUUCAAGUGUCAAUUUCGUUAUGACAUUUGUCAACCCUAGACCUGCCGGUCCAACUAUUGCAAGCAGCUAAGGUGCGGGAUUGUCGGUCCCAAUAUAGAUCUAUACACAACUAUCACGCUCUCCCUACAAGAGACUCUGGUUAUAUUUAACAGGACUUUCGUGUGUACUUUAUAAGGUACCGUGAAGACAAAACUCACUAAAUUUGUUCAACGAGUUUACAUGUUUUUGUGUUGAAAAUGUUUGUAUAAAUGAUCAUCCCCUAAGACUGGGAUAACUAUGAAAAACGAUGUGAAAUCUUUAGAUAUGAAUUUGACAAUAUUUGACCCUUUGCUCAACAUGAUACAAAUGGAGUAGAGUUUCGUAAACUAUAUAUGUAUAUUUUUGAUGUAGAAGACAAGUUUGUAAACAAAAACAUAUAUAUGCAAAUUGUUAUAUAUAUGUAUAAAGUUUAAAAGAUGAUUUGGUAUGUUUCGUAAUUGUUGUUCAUAUUCUUACGUUUUUAUUAGAAACUUUGCAUGAAAUAAUCCUUAAGUUUGAUACUAAAGACCUUUUUGUACUUAUCACUUUUUUAAAAAUUGUAAUUAAACAUAUUUAAAUGAUUGUGUUUUUGACUUCCUUAAUGUAUAAACAUUGCUAAAAAUGUUAGAAGGUGUUAAUAAAUCUAUAAACCACUUUUGACAGUUUUACCCUUUACUGUCCUUGUUUUGAGAAAACUCAUAGAAAAAUCAUCGUAAGUCAAAAACUGAAGCCGUCACCUCUGAGAGUUUACAAAAUGAGUCUAAUUUGUUCUUAAUUUUUAUUAUGAUUUUUAGUGGUUUCAAACUAGUGUGAAAAUGAGCAUAUUCACAGACUGGUCCGAAAUCACUUCUAAAAUGACAGACAAUUUUAUAAAAAUCGCCAUAAAUUGUAGAAAAAUCGUAUGAACGCGUGAGAGUAGUCCUUAGUAAGGUAUAAACUUGAACUAUUUGCAUAUUGUAUAGUUUUGAAAGAUAUUAAGUUUAAGAGGGUCAAAACAGUCCGUGAAAAAGGACUCAACUUUUCUGUAGAAAGCUGUCAUUUAAAUUUAAGUUAUGUUUAGUGUUCUAACUUGUAUUCCCCCCCUUAAAACUUGAAGAANCCCCCCCCCCUUAAAACUUGAAGAAAACAUGAAAAUUUAGGGUUAUGAACUAACCUUAUGUGAAUACUUGAAGAAUGGAAGGUUAAAGAUGAAGAACUUUUGGUUGUUGGUUUGAUGCUCCAAAACAUCCACUGUUUUGGUUAUGUUACUGUCACGAAAACUUCACAGCAAAAGAGUAAGAAAAUGGGUAGUUUACUCGGUAUUUUGAAUCAAUAAUGUUGAGUAUCAUAACAAGUAACUUACAGGGGUAUUUGGUGGUAAAAAUAUCAAGCAAAAGGAAGGUGUAGAUGAGUGAAAUGGUGGCUGAAACACAAAAGGGACAGCAGCCCUUUAGUUCAUGAUUUUGAUGGCUUUGGAAGGAAGUUCUUGUGGCUGAAAAUGAGAUGAAGAUUGAGAGUAAUUCCCUGGAGUAUUGGCUGGUGAAUUUAGGGUAAAAUGAUGAGAAAAUUGCGUGAUUAUGAAGGAGGAAAGGGUGGAAGAGGAUAACGGGACAAAACCAAGACUAGCUUGUGAUGGGAUGUGAGUUUAAGUGAUGUGAUCUUGUCUAGCCACUUGCUUGGGUGGUUGCUUAGAGAUAGAGUUAGUUAACUAACUAACUACUAGUUAUUUAGUUAGUUAGGAGUUCUAGUAAAGGAGAGGGAAGGUCUUAAUCUCGAAAAUUAGAAGAGUGAUUAAUAAGCAUUCUUAGUAAAAUGUCUUAAGUGAUUAAGCACUUAUUAGUUAAGUUGGCACAUAUCUCCACCAAUUCUCUUAUCUUAAUUGAUUUAGAAAUCAUAUUCCUUACAUGAAAUCACUUAAAUCAUGACCCAUAACUAGUCAUUCACUCGAUAAUAAUACAUAUGUACAAAUACAUACUUGUAUACUUAGUAUAAAAUAACAAUGUAGUUUUUGUGUAUUUGAACUUUAAUGUUUAUGUUUUAUUCUUUUUAUUCAAAAACACUUAAAUACAUUCUAAUUAUACCUUAUAAUAGUUCAUUUUAUAUUUUUAUUUAUUUAAAUAUAAAAUUUAUUGACCAAUGUAUAAUUUCGUGACAUUUAACCGGUUAACCAUAUCGUUAAACACGUUUUGUCACUUUGGUUCGUAUAUUUAUCAAAUUUAGAUCCUCCACAUCUAUUAAGCAAACGUUUUACAUAGAACCUAACUUACUUAUCAACUAGAGACAUGUUGAGACAAAAAUUAAGUUUGUUGCGUUUAAAUGAUGUUAUAUGCUAAUUUCACAAACCGGUGAUGGUUCGUAGUCAUACAUCAUAAUGAAAUUUAUCAAUAGUUACUUCUUUUAUAUUUCACAAUAACUUAUUUAAAUAAAAGAGGUUAAAUUCCUUCAACCAUUCUUGAUAAAAUACUCAUAUUGCUUAAAAAUCAAAACAUAGCAUCAUACGAUCGUUCCUAUUUUUACAAAUUGUUACAUUCUCCCCCCGUUAAAAGAAUUUCGCCCUGAAAUUCAACUUGUAGACGGGAUAUCACUAAACAAUCAGGGGUGUUUUUUUAUUUGAUCCUCGCAUUCCUUUGUGAAUUUCGCUCCUCGCUUGGCGUUCCAACGAGCCUUCACUAUGGGCAUGCGACUUUGUUUUAUCCUUAUGACCUCCAGAUCCAUGAUUUCCACCGGUUCUUCGAUGAAGUUUAGACUCCCGUUGAUUUCAAUUUCAUCCAGUGGAAUAAUAAGAGUCUCAUCAGACAAGCUCUUCUUCUGAUCCUGGGAUGCCUUCAAUCGUUCACGGGUUUGAACAAUCUUCUCUGUAGUUUCUCGUAUGAUCUGGGGGCUGGUGAGAGUGUUUUUAGGAACUUGCCCGUUAGCUAUUUGCGUGCCACCUACCUCAACCCAUCAAAGAGGUGAUCUACACUUGCUUUUGCAGAGAGCUUCGAAUGACGCGACUUUGAUGUUAAUGUAAUAGUUGAUGUUGUAUAAGGAUUCAAUGAAUGGUUCUUCCGCUUUGUCUUUCAGUUUGAGGGUGAUAAAAAGGACUUCUUUAACGACUAUUGAAAACACGAGGCGAAUCGCUUGUCACUUAUCUAAAAUGAUAGAUAGUGGUAUACUAUGCAGUCUCGCAAUUUUCUUGUGAUAUGCUUCUGUCAGCUUUUCUAUUUUUCUUUGUAUCCUUGGUCGGUAGAAAGUGGGUGGGUUUGGUUGAUUUGUCUACGAUUGCUCAAGUGGUAGCAUGUCCAUCCACUGUCCUGGGUAACUUGUCAUGGAGUUCAUGGUAUGACUCAUAACUGAUUCAUCUAUCAUCUCUUUGUGUUUAUAAGUCGUAUAUAAUUAAGAUUGAAAAGACAGUCGAAUCGGUGAUUCAAUUCUAAGCCCACAUCCGAACAAGGAAAAUGAUUUAAAACGGAAUUACCAACCCUAAGUCCGUAGAAUCUUAAUUAUAUAGGGCUCCAAUAUAAACACUUAGUAAUCAUAGAUUCACUAGUAUGGGUCCAUAGUCUCUACUUGAGUGGGGUGAUUAACUUGGGUGAGAUGGCAUUUACAACAACCCUUUUCCACAACUACUGCACUUAGGUUGAUUUUUGAACUCGGGUUGCCGUACGGAUGGUAUUCCCAGGAGAUCUUCUGGGAAUAUAUCGAGAAGGUUACAGGCUUUUUCAACAUCCAUGAUGUCUUUCUCUUAUUGUUUCUUAUCCACAACACGGGCUAGGACGGCGUGGUAUCUCCUGUGUAGGUACUUCUGAGUCUCGUUGUACAAGGUGAGUCGGGGGUUUGUGUCCAGUUUGUCGCCAUAGACAACAAGAGUUCAAUUACUCGAUGGGUUUAGGCGAAUGGCAUUUUCGUAAUAUAUAAUAUCGAUAUGGUGAGGAAACUAACUAAUACGUUGUUAAAAUGAAAAUGUCAUAAAUUUUUAUUGUGACCGGUUUUAGGAUGAUUUGAACGAAUUGGUUGAUUUAGUGUUAAAGUGCACCCUAUGUACACGUCUCUAGUGCUUGCGAAUAUUCCAAUUCUACUGUAAAUAUUUUGUUUAAGUUUUUGAGGUUUUUGGUUGAGAAAUUGAUUAAAUCUACGACUCAUAAUACUCCUGUCCGCGUUGCUAUUAUAUAGUAUCCAUGCAUAUGUGCUAUCGGGAAUGAACGUACUGGAAUCUCAGCGGGGUCUAUUAUUGCUUUCCCACGCUCUGUUGCUAAAACACUUCCGACGCUCCUGACAUCUUUGUUUUUAGUCUCCGGGAACUCCUUUAUGAAAUUCCCUACUUCUCCACAUCUGUAGCAAGUCCGACUCAUCCCAGCUUUUGUGUUCUGGGCGGUCUGUUGAGCCGGCACCCUACAGAAAUUUGUGGUAUGCCCCUUUUCAUUACAGUUCUUGCAGUGCAUUUCCCUGCACUUUCCUUUGUGAUGAAAGCUACACUCGGUGCAUUUUGGCAGGUUUCCAACAUAUGGUCUUGUCGGCACUGAGGUAGUAGGGAUGGUGGUGGUAUGGAAUGUCACUGUUUGUUGUCUUUUGGUAGGUCCUUGAUUUGGGGCGUCGUUGCAGGAACAUACUCGGGGUGUCCCUGGUUGUUAUUACGAUUGGAACUUUCGGCGCCGUUCCCGCUUUUGUUUGUGUUGUUAGCGCCGAGGUGUGCCAUGACUGCUGUCACGACGGCUGUUACCGCAAUUUGAAAUGUUGUAGGGUCUAUUUAUAGAACUAGUGUUGCACCAGUAUGCUGAUUACCUUCAUGUGUCGGCAUGAUUCUAUUUCGCGAGUGGCCUCCUCUGUUCUCAGUUCUGUGAUGACUGUCCAGGUUGUAGCUGUAAGGGUUCUUUGUCCUAUAACGACUAUCUCCUUUUCUAAGGAGUGUAGGUGAUCCGUAUUGUUCUCUUGAUCUGCUUGCCGGUCUAUGGGUGCUAUGGCCCGAAGUACGGUGCAGUGAGUUUAUGUCGGUUGUGGAUCAUCGGUUGUCCUCUCCAGUCUAUAUGUGUGGCUAGGUAGUUAAUUGCGGGUUGCUUCCUGAAAUGAGAGGUGGAGGUUCUCACACUCCUCUUGAUAGGGUAAGGUUUAUUGAUGGUAUCUCCCGAACUUCUUUCUCCAUCUGGUCCCUUCUCGGAAAUCUUCUUCCUCGUAUUUCAUCUAUUGGUACUCUUCGAAAUCUUCUUCUGGAUCCUUCUCGAUCCAUCUGUUGGCUUCGGUGGCAGGAUAGUAGGGGUCUAUGUGGAGAUGAAGUCUAGCUGAUAUGCCUAUGCGAGAAUAGGGGUAAGAAGCAUAUGAAGAAUCUAAGUGUGUGGUUCUAUUGUAACGCAAAAUACUCCUAUAGUAUUUUAAAUUUGUAUGUUAAAGUUUUCUUUGUAUGGUUUGUUGGUAAGUUUUAGACUCGUCAUCCACUACGACCAUUCCUCGGCAUACGUUGGUCACCUCUUGGAUAAAUAUAGUUGAUCAGGCUAUAUUCAUCCCAGACAUGAUUACAUACCCCGAGGCUUACUCGCAGUGUUUAACUUAUCUUAAUACUUUUUGUUUUGUUGCCAAUAUGACUCCUUACUAGUAUGUUUGUAUGCACUUACAUUUUUCGUGAAAUCUUGGUCCAUUCCUGGUCCUUCUAUCCUUGCCUUGUGUAUAUAGGUCAUAUACAGUUAAGAUUAAACAGUCAGUCGAAUAAGUGAUCUUACCUUAUAUCCACAUCCAAACAAGGAAAAGGAAGUAAAGUGAAAAUCACAAAUUCUAAGUCUAUAAAACUUUUAGUAUAUACCACCUUAACGUAUACACUUAGCAAACAUAGACCUAACAGCAAAGGACCCCUAAUGUUCCUGUUUUGAAAUUGUUAAUUCAGAGAGUUUUAGUCCCUAUGUAUUUAUAGUUUGUAUAUCUUAUGUGGUUUGAUAUACUUAGCUCACUAUAAACAAUGCUCUGAUACCAAUCUAUCACACCCCCAAACCAGGAUGGCGGAAACGUCCAGGGGCGGGUGACUAUCAUGUAGUGUAUCAUAACAGUUGAGUAUAAAUGUUCAAAGCAAACACAACCAACAUAUAUAUAAUUGAAAAAGUUACAUCAUUUGUACGUAUUACAUGUUUCAAAAUAUCAAUUACAAUAUGUUGUCAAAAGAUUUGUUUAGACGCCUAAGCGUCCCAUCCUCAAAGCCAGUUGUUACCUGAUUUACUGAUUUCCUGAGAAUACAAGUUAUUUGAAAAGAGAGUAUCGACAUUUAAGUUGGUGAGUUCAUAAGCAUUUGUAUGUAUAUUUGUAAACCGUUUCUAUGAAAUGUAGUAAUGUUUUUUUUUUCCGAAAAAUCCUAUAUUUUCCCUAAAAUGAGAUGUGGCCUUAAAUGAUCCAAGACCGAAACGUAUAAGUAGUUUUCCUACUUAAAAUGAUGUUAUGCAAUUUUGUUUGUAUAUAAAACUGUUUGAAGACUGUCUUUGCGUAAACUAAAAGUGUCAUUGUUGUUUUACGUGAGUUUUAAUUUUUAUCUUAUAACCAUGCUUGAUUGACCCAGACUACCUAGUUCGCAACGUUCUUCAAGUGUCAAUUUCGUUAUGACAUUUGUCACCCCUAGACCUGCCGGUCCAGCUGUUGCAAGCAGCUAAGGUGCGGGAUUGUCGGUCCCAAUAUAGAUCUAUACACAACUAUCACGGUCUCCCUACAAGAGACUCUGGUUAUAUUUAACAGGACUUUCGUGUGUACUUUAUAAGGUACCGUGAAGACAAAACUCACUAAAUUUGUUCAACGAGUUUACAUGUUUUUGUGUUGAAAAUGUUUGUAUAAAUGAUCAUCCCCUAAGACUGGGAUAGCUAUGAAAAACGACGUGAAAUCUUUAGAUAUGCAUUUGACAAUAUUUUACCAUUUGCUCAACAGGAUACAAAUGGAGUAGAGUUUCGUAAACUAUAU
RNAcentral lists this long non-coding RNA (7261 nucleotides) under Lactuca sativa (garden lettuce). RNAcentral's name for it is "long non-coding RNA (LSAT_LNC002058)". Lineage: Eukaryota; Viridiplantae; Streptophyta; Magnoliopsida; Asterales; Asteraceae. The record is from RNAcentral.